RNAcentral lists this ribosomal RNA (542 nucleotides) under uncultured bacterium. RNAcentral describes it as "bacterial SSU rRNA". It matches the Rfam family "Bacterial small subunit ribosomal RNA", at positions 40 to 614 of the family's 1533-position model. The record is from RNAcentral.
CGGCGUGCCUAACACAUGCAAGUCGAACGAGAAAGUGGAGCAAUCCAUGAGUACAGUGGCGUACGGGUGAGUAACACGUGACUAACCUACCCUCGAGUGGGGAAUAACUUCGGGAAACCGAGGCUAAUACCGCAUAACAUCUACGGAUCAAAUGCGCAAGCAGCUUGAGGAGGGGGUCGCGGCUGAUUAGCUAGUUGGCGGGGUAACGGCCCACCAAGGCAAUGAUCAGUAGCCGGCCUGAGAGGGCGCACGGCCACACUGGAACUGAAACACGGUCCAGACUCCUACGGGAGGCAGCAGUGGGGAAUUUUGCGCAAUGGGGGAAACCCUGACGCAGCAACGCCGCGUGGAGGAUGAAGCCCCUUGGGGUGUAAACUCCUUUCGAUCGGGACGAUUAUGACGGUACCGGAUGGAGAAGCACCGGCUAACUCUGUGCCAGCAGCCGCGGUAAUACAGAGGGUGCAAGCGUUGUUCGGAAUUAUUGGGCGUAAAGGGUGCGUANGCGGUGCGGUAAGUCUUCUGUGAAACCUCCGGGCUUAACU